GACGUAGGGCGCGAGCGUUGUCCGGAUUUAUUGGGCGUAAAGAGUUCGUAGGCGGUUUGUCGCGUCGUUUGUGAAAACCAGCAGCUCAACUGCUGGCUUGCAGGCGAUACGGGCAGACUUGAGUACUGCAGGGGAGACUGGAAUUCCUGGUGUAGCGGUGAAAUGCGCAGAUAUCAGGAGGAACACCGGUGGCGAAGGCGGGUCUCUGGGCAGUAACUGACGCUGAGGAGCGAAAGUGUGGGGAGCGAACAGG
RNAcentral lists this ribosomal RNA (253 nucleotides) under uncultured bacterium. Its description in RNAcentral is "partial 16S ribosomal RNA". It matches the Rfam family "Bacterial small subunit ribosomal RNA", at positions 524 to 776 of the family's 1533-position model. The record is from RNAcentral.